Non-coding RNA from Acanthosepion pharaonis, 106 nucleotides. NCBI's taxonomy places the organism in Eukaryota, Metazoa, Mollusca, Cephalopoda, Sepiida, Sepiidae. The record is from the annotation of a GenBank genome assembly.
UACGGCCGUAUCACAUUCAAACAUCGAUUCUCGUACGAUCACUAAAGUUAAGCAACGUCGAGCCUGGUCUGUACUUAGAUGAGGGAGCGCUUGGAAUACCAGUUGC